Molecule: ribosomal RNA, 403 nt
Filed under: uncultured bacterium
Lineage: Bacteria
Description: partial 16S ribosomal RNA
Rfam family: Bacterial small subunit ribosomal RNA
Source: RNAcentral
AUUGAACGCUGGCGGCAGGCCUAACACAUGCAAGUCGAGCGAGCGGCGGACGGGUGAGUAAUGUAUGGGGACUGCCCGAUAGAGGGGGAGAACUACUGGAACCGGUAGCUAAUACCGCAUACUAUCGGAUAACCCAUAUGGGAUUAGCUAGUAGGUGAGGUAAUGGCUGACCUAGGCGACGAUCCCUAGCUGGUCUGAGAGGAUGAUCAGACACACUGGGACUGGGACACGGCCCAGACUCUUACGGAGGCAGCAGUGGGGAAAAUGGCACGAUGGGCGCAAGCCUGAUGCAGCCAUGCCGGGUGUAUGAAGAAGGCCAUAGGGUUGUAAAGUACUUUCAGUCGGGAGGCGUUACCGACAGAAGAAGCACCGGCGAACUCCGUGCCAGCAGCAGCGGUAAUAC